This 465-nucleotide ribosomal RNA is filed under the name Vreelandella stevensii. RNAcentral's name for it is "partial 16S ribosomal RNA". It matches the Rfam family "Bacterial small subunit ribosomal RNA", at positions 338 to 795 of the family's 1533-position model. Lineage: Bacteria; Pseudomonadati; Pseudomonadota; Gammaproteobacteria; Oceanospirillales; Halomonadaceae. The record is from RNAcentral.
CCUACGGGGGGCUGCAGUGGGGAAUAUUGGACAAUGGGGGCAACCCUGAUCCAGCCAUGCCGCGUGUGUGAAGAAGGCCCUCGGGUUGUAAAGCACUUUCAGUGAGGAAGAACGCCUGGUGGUUAAUACCCAUCAGGAAAGACAUCACUCACAGAAGAAGCACCGGCUAACUCCGUGCCAGCAGCCGCGGUAAUACGGAGGGUGCGAGCGUUAAUCGGAAUUACUGGGCGUAAAGCGCGCGUAGGUGGCUUGAUAAGCCGGUUGUGAAAGCCCCGGGCUCAACCUGGGAACGGCAUCCGGAACUGUCAAGCUAGAGUGCAGGAGAGGAAGGUAGAAUUCACGGUGUAGCGGUGAAAUGCGUAGAGAUCGGGAGGAAUACCAGUGGCGAAGGCGGCCUUCUGGACUGACACUGACACUGAGGUGCGAAAGCGUGGGUAGCAAACAGGAUUAGAUACCCUAGUAGUC